This 265-nucleotide ribosomal RNA is filed under the name uncultured prokaryote. RNAcentral describes it as "partial 16S ribosomal RNA". It matches the Rfam family "Bacterial small subunit ribosomal RNA", at positions 524 to 788 of the family's 1533-position model. The record is from RNAcentral.
UACGGAGGGUGCGAGCGUUAAUCGGAAUUACUGGGCGUAAAGCGCGCGUAGGCGGUCUGAUCAGCCGGUUGUGAAAGCUCCGGGCUCAACCUGGGAACGGCAUCCGGAACUGUCAGGCUAGAGUGCAGGAGAGGAAGGUAGAAUUCCCGGUGUAGCGGUGAAAUGCGUAGAGAUCGGGAGGAAUACCAGUGGCGAAGGCGGCCUUCUGGACUGACACUGACGCUGAGGUGCGAAAGCGUGGGUAGCAAACAGGAUUAGAUACCCU